CCCUGGGGUAGUCGGGACCUAAGCUGAGGCCGAAGAGCAUAGGGGAUGGACAACAGGUUGAUAGUCCUGUAGUCACGAUAACCGGUUGAGAGGAGAGAUUACAAAGUAGGAUAAGCUAAGCAACCUGUUGGUGAUGUGUGCCCAAGCAUUGAGGCAGUCAAAGUAGGCAAAUCCGCUUUGAUAAUGCUGGGAUGUGAUGGGGAGCGAAAUUUAGUAGCGAAGUAGCUGAUUUCACACUGUCAAGAAAAGUCUCUAUCGAGGUUAAAGGUACCCGUACCGCAAACCGACACAGGUG
RNAcentral lists this ribosomal RNA (295 nucleotides) under Clostridioides difficile. RNAcentral describes it as "partial 23S ribosomal RNA". It matches the Rfam family "Bacterial large subunit ribosomal RNA", at positions 1373 to 1665 of the family's 2925-position model. Lineage: Bacteria; Bacillati; Bacillota; Clostridia; Peptostreptococcales; Peptostreptococcaceae. The record is from RNAcentral.